UAAAAAUGGACAAUGUCCGACAGUAGAAUUAGGGGUACAAUAUGCCCACCUGAGAGACAAGAAAAAGAAGAGCAUCUCAUUCUCCUCAUAAAGUUUCAAAAGCAAGGAAGGUAUGUAUCCCCUCAAAGAGCAAAGUAGAAUUAGACUUUCACCACCAUUAUUUCCACUAUUGUUAUCACCAUCAUCACCAUACACCAUUCAUUCGCCACACAUGCACAUCUUGAUUUGGCUUAUUGAUUUAUUUCUUUGGAUCCAUGGUUUGACUAUGCAAUAAAUGUCUUAUAAGUAUGUAUACUUUAUCUUCCACCUAUGAACUCCAGAUAUUAAAGCCUUAUUAGAGUAGGGUGAGAGAGAAGACAAUGUCAUUAUGCUUUGUACCAGAAAUACUACAUAUUUUGAGAGAAGGCAUAUACCAUCACUGCCUUGGUAAGGAUCCAAAAAUACCACAAA
RNAcentral lists this long non-coding RNA (450 nucleotides) under Sorghum bicolor (sorghum). RNAcentral's name for it is "long non-coding RNA (SBIC_LNC003242)". Lineage: Eukaryota; Viridiplantae; Streptophyta; Magnoliopsida; Poales; Poaceae. The record is from RNAcentral.